Molecule: ribosomal RNA, 232 nt
Filed under: uncultured bacterium
Lineage: Bacteria
Description: partial 16S ribosomal RNA
Rfam family: Bacterial small subunit ribosomal RNA
Source: RNAcentral
UGGGUAAUCUGCCCUUCUCAUCGGAAUAAGCGUUGGAAACGACGUCUAAUGCCGAAUACGACCUCCUUUCGCAUGAUCGGAGGUGGAAAGCUCCGGCGGUGAAGGAUGAGCUCGCGACCUAUCAGCUUGUUGGUGAGGUAAUGGCUCACCAAGGCGACGACGGGUAGCCGGCCUGAGGAGGGUGACCCGGCCACACUGGGACUGAGACACCGGCCCAGACCUCCGUACGGGA